This 664-nucleotide long non-coding RNA is filed under the name Mytilus galloprovincialis (Mediterranean mussel). Lineage: Eukaryota; Metazoa; Mollusca; Bivalvia; Mytilida; Mytilidae. The record is from RNAcentral.
AGCUUAAAGUGCCUUUUAUAACUAUCAGAAGUGCUAAAAAAUGUUUCAGAAAAAUGUUUUUGUUAUCCAGGUUAUCUCCCCUUAAAUGGCAAAGUUACAAAAUAUUUUGAUCAACAAAAAUAUUCUGCAUUUGUAAAUCAGCAAAGUGUUAAUAUUAAACUUAUCACUUUUCUUAUUAAGAUAAUGACAAAAUGUUGGAUGAAAGUUUUUGAUGUAAGCUGUCAAUAAAAUUUAGUUUUUGUAGUAAAUGGAGUUGUAUGAGAUAUCAACCUUAAACAAAUGAAUAUCUGUUAACCUAUUUUAGGAUGAACAAAUGUGUUUAAUCUGUGAAUGUUUGAAAACAAAGUAGUUAUGACCAUACAAAACAGGCCAAAUUUUAUCUUUAAUUUCACAUUUGAAUGUUCUAAAAUUAAAGUCCUAUACAUAUGCAUGUAUAUGAAAUUUGCAAAUAAAAGUGUCCAACUUAAUUGCCUGUAUCAAUAGUUUUUGAAUAUUUUUUUAUUUCAGUGUCCAUAAAACAUGUCACAUUUUAUCUUGUUAGAUAUUUCAAUCUUAACAAAAAGACCCUAAUAGAAUAUCAGUUAAAACUAUAACCUUUAUUGUCAUUUAAAACCAAUUGUGAGGACAAAAUGGUCAUUUGUAAAUACAGUUGUAUGGAUUUCAA